This 498-nucleotide ribosomal RNA is filed under the name uncultured bacterium. RNAcentral's name for it is "bacterial SSU rRNA". It matches the Rfam family "Bacterial small subunit ribosomal RNA", at positions 20 to 507 of the family's 1533-position model. The record is from RNAcentral.
UGGCUCAGGAUGAACGCUAGCGACAGGCUUAACACAUGCAAGUCGAGGGGCAGCGAGGGAGUGCUUGCACUUCUGUCGGCGACCGGCGCACGGGUGAGUAACACGUAUGCAACCUGCCCUUGUCAGGGGGAUAAGCGAGGGAAACCUCGUCUAAUACCGCAUAUAUGGUUUUGAGGCAUCUCUUAAUCAGGAAAGAAUUAUCGGACAAGGAUGGGCAUGCGGGACAUUAGGUAGUUGGGGGUGUAACGGACCACCAAGCCGACGAUGUCUAGGGGUUCUGNGAAAAAGGAAGGUCCCCCACACUGGUACUGAGACACGGACCAGACUCCUACGGGAGGCAGCAGUGAGGAAUAUUGGUCAAUGGGCGAGAGCCUGAACCAGCCAAGUCGCGUGAGGGAAGACGGUACUAAGUAUUGUAAACCUCUUUUGUCAGGGAACAAAGAGACCACGUGUGGUAAGAUGAGUGUACCUGAAGAAAAAGCAUCGGCUAACUCCGUG